Molecule: ribosomal RNA, 1946 nt
Filed under: feces metagenome
Description: bacterial LSU rRNA
Rfam family: Bacterial large subunit ribosomal RNA
Source: RNAcentral
UCAAGCAAGAAAGAGCACAGGGUGAAUGCCUUGGCACUGGGAGCCGAUGAAAGACGUGGUAAGCUGCGAAAAGCUUCGGGGAGGCGCAAACAGCCAUCGAGCCGGAGAUUUCUGAAUGGGGAAACCUACUUGAGCAAACCUCAAGUAUCCAUACGUGAAUCCAUAGCGUAUGGAAGGGAACGUUGUGAACUGAAACAUCUAAGUAGCAAUAGGAGGAGAAAGAAACAUCGAUUUCCUAAGUAGCGGCGAGCGAAAGGGAAAGAGGCCAAACCGAAGGACCUGGUUCUUCGGGGUUGCGGACUGCAUUUAGCAUUGUCGGAAGAUAGUCGAACUGUUUUGGGAAAGCAGACCAAAGACGGUGAAAGUCCGGUAGACGAAAUCGGAGGGCAGCGAGCAGUAUCCAGAGUACCACGGGACACGAGAAACCCUGUGGGAAGCCGGGGGGACCACCCCCCAAGCCUAAAUACUCCCCAGUGACCGAUAGUGAAGCAGUACUGUGAAGGAAAGGUGAAAAGAACCCCGGGAGGGGAGUGAAAAAGAACCUGAAACCCUUUGUUUACAAACAGUGGGAGUUACGAUAGUAACGACUGCGUACUUUUUGUAGAACGGUCCGGCGAGUUACAUUUGCAAGCAAGGUUAAUUAGUAAGAAGCUAAGAAGCCGAAGGGAAACCAAGUCUGAAGAGGGCGACAAGUUUGUAGGUGUAGACCCGAAACCGGGUGACCUAUCCAUGAGCAGGUUGAAGUUACCGUAAAAGGUAAUGGAGGACCGAACUCGUAUCUGUUGAAAAAGGUUGAGAUGACUUGUGGAUAGCGGAGAAAUUCCAAUCGAACCCGGAGAUAGCUGGUUCUCCUCGAAAUAGCUUUAGGGCUAGCCUUGUGUUAAUCUACUGGAGGUAAAGCACUGAAUUGGUGCGGGGCCUUCGCGGGUUACCAAAUCAUAUCAAACUAAGAAUGCCAGAGAGAUGAUGCACAGGAGUCAGACUAUGUGAGAUAAGUUUCAUAGUCAAAAGGGAAAGAGCCCAGACCGACAGCUAAGGUCCCAAAGUGUGUGUUAAGUGGAAAAGGAUGUGAGAAUUCGAAGACAACUAGGAUGUUGGCUUAGAAGCAGCCACUCAUUUAAAGAGUGCGUAACAGCUCACUAGUCGAGAGUUUUUGCGCCGAAAAUGUCCGGGGCUAAAACACACCACCGAAGCUACGGAAUUGUAGAGAUACAAUUGGUAGAGGAGCAAUCUGCAAGGAAGAAGCCAAACUGAAAGGGAAGGUGGACGAAGCAGAAGAGAGAAUGCCGGAAUGAGUAGCGAGAUAUAUGUGAGAAUCAUAUAGGUCGAAUGUCUAAGGUUUCCAGAGUAAAGCUGAUCUGCUCUGGGUAAGUCGGGACCUAAGGCGAGGUCGAAAGACGUAGUCGAUGGACAACUGGUUUAAAUUCCAGUACUACUAAUAAUCAGAACUGUGGGGACACAGGAGGAUAGGAAAACCGAGGAAAGGAAAUACUCGGCUAAGCACAAAGCUGUGUGUAUGAUGCAAAUCACAUACAUAAAGGUGAAGUGUGAAAGGGAGCGAAGAGAAGUAGCGAAGUUUCUGAAUCCACACUGUCAAGAAAAGCCGCUAUAGUGUUAUUAGUACCCGUACCGCAAACCGACACAGGUAGACGAGGAGAAAAUCCACAGACCGACGGGAGAAGUGUUGUUAAGGAACUCGGCAAAAUGACCCCGUAACUUAGGGAGAAGGGGAGCCUAUGAGAGUAGGCCACAGAGAAGAGGCUCAAGCGACUGUUUAGCAAAAACACAGGUCUCUGCGAAACCGAAAGGUGAAGUAUAGGGGCUGACACCUGCCCGGUGCUGGAAGGUCAAAAGGAGAGGUUAGGAGCAAUCCGAAGCUUUGAAUUCAAGCCCCAGUAAACGGCGGCCGUAACUAUAACGGUCCUAAGGUAGCGAAAUUCCUUGUC